UGUGAACUCGAAGAGUAGGGCGGGACACGUGGUAUCCUGUCUGAAUAUGGGGGGACCAUCCUCCAAGGCUAAAUACUCCUGACUGACCGAUAGUGAACCAGUACCGUGAGGGAAAGGCGAAAAGAACCCCGGCGAGGGGAGUGAAAAAGAACCUGAAACCGUGUACGUACAAGCAGUGGGAGCCUCUUUAUGGGGUGACUGCGUACCUUUUGUAUAAUGGGUCAGCGACUUAUAUUCUGUAGCAAGGUUAACCGUAUAGGGGAGCCGAAGGGAAACCGAGUCUUAACUGGGCGUUAAGUUGCAGGGUAUAGACCCGAAACCCGGUGAUCUAGCCAUGGGCAGGUUGAAGGUUGGGUAACACUAACUGGAGGACCGAACCGACUAAUGUUGAAAAAUUAGCGGAUGACCUGUGGCUGGGGGUGAAAGGCCAAUCAAACCGGGAGAUAGCUGGUUCUCCCCGAAAGCUAUUUAGGUAGCGCCUCGUGAACUCAUCUUCGGGGGUAGAGCACUGUUUCGGCUAGGGGGCCAUCCCGGCUUACCAACCCGAUGCAAACUACGAAUACCGAAGAAUGUUAUCACGGGAGACACACGGCGGGUGCUAACGUCCGUCGUGAAGAGGGAAACAACCCAGACCGCCAGCUAAGGUCCCAAAGUCAUGGUUAAGUGGGAAACGAUGUGGGAAGGCACAGACAGCCAGGAUGUUGGCUUAGAAGCAGCCAUCAUUUAAAGAAAGCGUAAUAGCUCACUGGUCGAGUCGGCCUGCGCGGAAGAUGUAACGGGGCUAAACCAUGCACCGAAGCUGCGGCAGCGACACUAUGUGUUGUUGGGUAGGGGAGCGUUCUGUAAGCCGUUGAAGGUGUGCUGUGAGGCAUGCUGGAGGUAUCAGAAGUGCGAAUGCUGACAUAAGUAACGAUAAAGCGGGUGAAAAGCCCGCUCGCCGGAAGACCAAGGGUUCCUGUCCAACGUUAAUCGGGGCAGGGUGAGUCGACCCCUAAGGCGAGGCCGAAAGGCGUAGUCGAUGGGAAACAGGUUAAUAUUCCUGUACUUGGUGUUACUGCGAAGGGGGGACGGAGAAGGCUAUGUCAGCCGGGCGACGGUUGUCCCGGUUUAAGCAUGUAGGCGGAGGUUCCAGGUAAAUCCGGUACCUUUUAACGCUGAGGUGUGAUGACGAGGCACUACGGUGCUGAAGUGAUAAAUGCCCUGCUUCCAGGAAAAGCCUCUAAGCAUCAGGUAACACGAAAUCGUACCCCAAACCGACACAGGUGGUCAGGUAGAGAAUACCAAGGCGCUUGAGAGAACUCGGGUGAAGGAACUAGGCAAAAUGGUGCCGUAACUUCGGGAGAAGGCACGCUGAUAUGUAGGUGAAGCCCCUGCGGGCGGAGCUGAAAUCAGUCGAAGAUACCAGCUGGCUGCAACUGUUUAUUAAAAACACAGCACUGUGCAAACACGAAAGUGGACGUAUACGGUGUGACGCCUGCCCGGUGCCGGAAGGUUAAUUGAUGGGGUUAGCGGCAACGCGAAGCUCUUGAUCGAAGCCCCGGUAAACGGCGGCCGUAACUAUAACGGUCCUAAGGUAGCGAAAUUCCUUGUCGGGUAAGUUCCGACCUGCACGAAUGGCGUAAUGAUGGCCAGGCUGUCUCCACCCGAGACUCAGUGAAAUUGAACUCGCUGUGAAGAUGCAGUGUACCCGCGGCAAGACGGAAAGACCCCGUGAACCUUUACUAUAGCUUGACACUGAACACUGGUCCUUGAUGUGUAGGAUAGGUGGGAGGCUUUGAAGCGUGGACGCCAGUCUGCGUGGAGCCAUCCUUGAAAUACCACCCUUUAAUGGCUGGUGUUCUAACGUAGACCCGUGAUCCGGGUUGCGGACAGUGUCUGGUGGGUAGUUUGACUGGGGCGGUCUCCUCCCAAAGAGUAACGGAGGAGCACGAAGGUUGGCUAAUCCUGGUCGGACAUCAGGAGGUUAGUGCAAUGGCAUAAGCCAGCUUGACUGCGAGCGUGACGGCGCGAGCAGGUGCGAAAGCAGGUCAUAGUGAUCCGGUGGUUCUGAAUGGAAGGGCCAUCGCUCAACGGAUAAAAGGUACUCCGGGGAUAACAGGCUGAUACCGCCCAAGAGUUCAUAUCGACGGCGGUGUUUGGCACCUCGAUGUCGGCUCAUCACAUCCUGGGGCUGAAGUAGGUCCCAAGGGUAUGGCUGUUCGCCAUUUAAAGUGGUACGCGAGCUGGGUUUAGAACGUCGUGAGACAGUUCGGUCCCUAUCUGCCGUGGGCGCUGGAGAAUUGAGGGGGGCUGCUCCUAGUACGAGAGGACCGGAGUGGACGCAUCACUGGUGUUCGGGUUGUCAUGCCAAUGGCACUGCCCGGUAGCUAAAUGCGGAAGAGAUAAGUGCUGAAAGCAUCUAAGCACGAAACUUGCCCCGAGAUGAGUUCUCCCUGAGACUUUAAGUCUCCUGAAGGAACGUUGAAGACGACGACGUUGAUAGGUCGGGUGUGUAAGCGCAGCGAUGCGUUGAGCUAACCGAUACUAAUGAACCGUGAGGCUUAACCUUACAACGCCGAAG
RNAcentral lists this ribosomal RNA (2560 nucleotides) under Enterobacter hormaechei. RNAcentral describes it as "partial 23S ribosomal RNA". It matches the Rfam family "Bacterial large subunit ribosomal RNA", at positions 398 to 2925 of the family's 2925-position model. Lineage: Bacteria; Pseudomonadati; Pseudomonadota; Gammaproteobacteria; Enterobacterales; Enterobacteriaceae. RNAcentral also lists the same sequence under 1 other name. The record is from RNAcentral.